Long non-coding RNA from Betta splendens (Siamese fighting fish), 2035 nucleotides. The record is from Ensembl. Lineage: Eukaryota; Metazoa; Chordata; Actinopteri; Anabantiformes; Osphronemidae.
GUAAAGGGAGGGACAGUUUAACAUGGUCUGAAAUAUACUGUGGGGUUUUUGUAUGACGGUUUUCUAGAGAAAGAGGAAGUACAGCUCACUUCUGAGAAUAAACAAGCUUGAUGACAGGAAUUCACAGUCUGAGACAGAAAAUCUGAUAAAUGGAAGAGGCGGAAAUACUUUAGUGCAGCAACCAUGUGUCAAAAUGUUUUAACUUAAUUACAGUUUUUUAUGUAGGGGCCCAUUCAUUGAGACUUUUGGUCUUUUAACUUGCUUCUCGUGGCGCCCCCUCGUGGCACUUUCCCACAUGACAGGCAAACACUUAAUACAAGAAAAUCUGUGUUAAAAGCUGAUUAGCGUUCAUGGGUGACACUUUUAAAUAUAAACAUCUACCAAUCAAAUAUGAGUCCUUAACGAAAAUAAAUCGUGUACUCGUAGGACCGUAUACGACUUUAUUUAUCCCACAAUGGGGAAAUUCUUUACAGCAGCAGCAUGACAAUUUACAAGACAAAAAAAAACAAAAGGAAACACAAACAGUAAUAAUUGUGCAGAAAAGAAACAACAACAGUAAUAGUUCUACUAAAAGUACUUGUACAUACAACAGUAAUAAAACGAGGCAUCAAUGUUGGCUGCAUGCAUUACAUAUUAACAGAGGCAAACAAUGUCGUAUGAAUGGUGGAGACUCAAACACUGCACAAUAGGAAAUAAUGCGGCUGAAUGUAAAUAUUGAUUUAAAAAAUUAAACGCGCUUCAGCGGGAGUCCGCCGUUUCUCUGCGGUCCAGAACUGUGCGUGGCGGCGUACCGCCGCUGCGUGGUGACGUCACAUUGAAGUAGAGGAGGAGCUAACACCCAACAUCCGGGUAACCAAUCCCAGCUGUCAUUGGGCGAACUGACCGACGUGGAGACGCGGAACCGCUGCGACCAAAGGUUUAAAAUGAGUUGACAUUAGCAGAAGACGGGCUUAGAGUCAACUUUCUGCCGCUUUAUGCUGAUUGGGAAGUUUAUUAUAAGAAGAAUGUGCUCCAUCGUCCCCCGUCAUGUGAUCUGGCAGUCAGACGGGCUGGUGGCCUACCUCCACCCCUGCCCUUGGACCCCUGGCUCUGUCAUCCUGGAGCGCAGCACGCCUGACAGCCCAGGAGGAAGCAUAUUCCACCUGCAGGAAGCAGAGCUUUUAUCGUGGCUUUGGGGUGCGAGAACAGUUGCAGAGCUGCUGUGUGACAGGUUGGGGGUCCGGAGGUGUGCUCUGGUCAGCAGACCCCACAGAGACCGACCCACACAGAUCCAAGUCCUCCCGCUUCAUGGCUUAGAUGCAGAGUGGCGCCCACACCUUGCAAGCGAAGAAGAGCAUAAUACCCAUGACCCGGGUUACUGCACCUCCAAGACGGCUCCCAAGUGGAGUGAGUCCAACCUGACUGAAAUACAGAACAAGAUUCGAGCCAGACUCCCUGCACCCAAUGCCCCUCCUAACCUGACUUUCCUUGGGGAUGACCCAGCUCACCCUGGCCUCUUCUCACGCAUAGUCCGUGGUGAAGAGCAGCAAUGGCGGGUGUGGGAGGACGAAGGUCAUGUGGCCUUCCUCACGCCUUUUCCCAACACUCCUGGCUUUACUGUACUGGUCCCACGGCGACCUUUGACCUCUGACAUCUUUAAAUUAGAAAAAGGGGACUAUGAAAGCCUAGUGCUGGCGACUCGGAAGGUGUCCCAGCUUCUUGAGAAGGGUUUGGGUGCCUGGGCUGUGGGGCUUAUAUUUGAGGGUUUUGAGAUUGAUUAUGCUCAUGCCAAGUUGAUACCGCUCAUUCUGCCUUCAUCUACACUUUUAGCUGGCACUAAGAAACAACAAUUUAAUCAGUUUCACACCACUUACCCAGGAUAUGUGACCUCAGAAGACGGACCUGAAGCCAGUUUGGAAAAUCUACAGGAGAUUCACAACAAAAUUACUGGGCUUUAAAAUUAACAGCUAACGUUUGAGCUGCAUCAGAUUUAUGCUCUUCCUUAGAAAUGACUGACCAUAAUAUUGAAAUAAAACCUAAAAAAAAAUUCUGCUCA